Vicia faba (fava bean) is the source of this 297-nucleotide non-coding RNA. The record is from the annotation of a GenBank genome assembly. Lineage: Eukaryota; Viridiplantae; Streptophyta; Magnoliopsida; Fabales; Fabaceae.
AUGAUAUCCUCAUCGGCAACAUCCUGUUUUGUUUUCUAUAUAAAUAUAUGCAUUCAGGUUAAACAAAACAACAAAAUAAAAGGAUUACUAGAAUGUGCGUAUCAUGGCCAGUCCCAAGAAGUAAAGGCAGCGACGCUGCUCCACAAGGCAAUGGAAUAUGAGACAGACAACAACGGAGGAAUUCUCUCCGAUGAAGAGAAAACCAUCAACGUCAAUGCUUUGUUCUGCGACGUUUACUUGGCGUCAUACAAACACAAUUUCAGUUUUGCCUCCAUAAAAGUUAGGGAUUUGGAUUAA